RNAcentral lists this small RNA (48 nucleotides) under Cloacibacillus porcorum. RNAcentral describes it as "DUF3800-XI RNA". It matches the Rfam family "DUF3800-XI RNA". From Rfam's summary of the family: Actinobacteria, Firmicutes, Proteobacteria, Spirochaetes (1 example). Nearby to DUF3800 The record is from RNAcentral. Lineage: Bacteria; Thermotogati; Synergistota; Synergistia; Synergistales; Synergistaceae.
UGGGCUGGCCGAAAGGCCCGGGUCCAUCUUUUAGCGGGGAAUUUCCCC